Molecule: ribosomal RNA, 237 nt
Filed under: uncultured Staphylococcus sp.
Lineage: Bacteria; Bacillati; Bacillota; Bacilli; Caryophanales; Staphylococcaceae
Description: partial 16S ribosomal RNA
Rfam family: Bacterial small subunit ribosomal RNA
Source: RNAcentral
CGGGUGAGUAACACGUGGAUAACCUACCUAUAAGACUGGGAUAACUUCGGGAAACCGGAGCUAAUACCGGAUAAUAUAUUGAACCGCAUGGUUCAAUAGUGAAAGACUGUUUUGCUGUCACUUAUAGAUGGAUCCGCGCCGCAUUAGCCAGUUGGUAAGGUAACGGCUUACCAAGGCAACGAUGCGUAGCCGACCUGAGAGGGUGAUCGGCCACACUGGAACUGAGACACGGUCCAG